CCGAUACAAGUUCCUGUGAGGCAGGACGGCGCAUCAACGCUUCCAAAAAUGCCCCAAAACCCUGAACUUCCUGUCGUCUGCUGACAUCACCGGCUGAUCAGGGCCUCGGCCAGCUGAUCUGACUCUACAGUACAUGACUGCACACGGAAACACCUGGCCAGGUUAUUUCAUCAGAGUUAGCUUGUGCUGCUAGCACUGACCUGGCUAACACCUCCCUCAGAGCUGUGAGGGAGGUUCUGGUCUCCGAGUCCUUGGAGCUCGAUGCUAAAGAGAGCGAGUCACGUGACUCCUUCCUCCAGCUUGUCCUGAGCAGGUGUGUGAAGAUGGCCGCCUCCUUUUUGGUAUUUUGGCCUGUGCCAAAGAAACGGCCGAGGUCAGAGACACGAGUUCCCUCACAGUCCUCUGUCUCUGCCAUCGAAGUUUUUAAAUAGUGACGAGCAGAAAGGAGUUCUGGGUGUUUAUCCUCAGGACAGCUCUGUGAGUGUAGGACUGAACGCUCGCUGUGCUGACUGUGACGGCGAGCAGAGCUGUGAUCCCAGCGAAUCUUCGUUUAAACAUGACGAAGGCGGGAAAAGAGCAGAGCUGCUAACGAAUCGAUCAGACACGCCGUGAACGAGCGAGGUACUGUCACUGGUCUUGGGACCCGCCCCCUCUGUCGACUUUGCUGCCAAUCGACGGGCGCAUUACUUAAACCUGUGAUCUGAUUGGCUAACAGCUCUGCUGCCACUUUACGCUGAAGUAAAACAGCCGACCCAGAAUGCACGGUUCCAAAUGUUACAACAUCUGGAGCUGCAGCUGGAGUCCUACACUCACUGAAAGUCAUGAGCACCGUUCACUUCCUGUGGCAUGGGCCGACAGAGGCGGUCAGCUCCACCUACGCCAUCUGCUCCACCUGUGGGAGGAGCGAGCUGUGAGUCUCUAAACAGGAAGAGAAGCGACUGAUCUUCAUCGGCGUGACUGUAGGAGGAGCAGUUUAACAUGUAUAAAUACACGUGUACAUACAUAUAUGAACAGGAAGGAGGAAGUGACAUCUAACAAAAUAAAAGCCUCUUCCUGGUUCCGGUCCUUCCUUCAGUAGAGGCGACUGAUGGAGGUUCCUGGUUUUACUGUGGUGCUUUAUAAAGAGAACCUCCACCUGCUCCGUCUGCCUGGAGACUGACAGGAAAUGACCUGUGUGUGUGUGUGUGUGUGUGUGUGUGUGUGUGUGUGUGUGUGUGUGUGUGUGUGUGUCUCGUCGCUGUAUGAAUGUAUCUGAGCCGGUGACUCUGAGGCUCACACUCCAAUAAACUGUAGAAAAUG
This is a long non-coding RNA of Astatotilapia calliptera (eastern happy), 1299 nucleotides long. The record is from Ensembl. Lineage: Eukaryota; Metazoa; Chordata; Actinopteri; Cichliformes; Cichlidae.